AGUGCAUGUGGUGGAUGCCUUGGCAGUCAGAGGCGAUGAAAGACGUGAUAGCCUGCGAAAAGCUCCGGGGAGGCGGCAAAUAUCCUUUGAUCCGGAGAUUUCUGAAUGGGGGAACCCACCUACUUUAAGGUAGGUAUUGCAACAUGAAUACAUAGUGUUGCAAGGCGAACGAGGGGAAGUGAAACAUCUCAGUACCCUUAGGAAAAGAAAUCAAUUGAGAUUCCCUCAGUAGCGGCGAGCGAACGGGGAUCAGCCCAUUAAGUUAUGUGUGUUUUAGUGGAACGCUCUGGGAAGUGCGAACGUAGAGGGUGAUAUUCCCGUACACGAAAGGGCACACAUAAUGAUGACGAGUAGGGCGAGGCACGUGAAACCUUGUCUGAAUAUGGGGGGACCAUCCUCCAAGGCUAAAUACUCCUGACUGACCGAUAGUGAACCAGUACCGUGAGGGAAAGGCGAAAAGAACCCCUGUGAGGGGAGUGAAAUAGAUCCUGAAACCGCAUGCAUACAAGCAGUGGGAGCACCUUCGUGGUGUGACUGCGUACCUUUUGUAUAAUGGGUCAGCGACUUAUAUUCAGUAGCGAGGUUAACCGUAUAGGGGAGCCGUAGAGAAAUCGAGUCUUAAUAGGGCGUUUAGUUGCUGGGUAUAGACCCGAAACCAGGCGAUCUAUCCAUGAGCAGGUUGAAGGUUGGGUAACACUAACUGGAGGACCGAACCCACUGUCGUUGAAAAGCCAGGGGAUGACUUGUGGAUAGGGGUGAAAGGCUAAUCAAGCCUGGUGAUAGCUGGUUCUCCCCGAAAGCUAUUUAGGUAGCGCCUCGGACGAAUACCAUAGGGGGUAGAGCACUGUUUCGGCUAGGGGGUCAUCCCGACUUACCAAACCGAUGCAAACUCCGAAUACCUAUGAGUACUAUCCGGGAGACAGACUGCGGGUGCUAACGUCCGUAGUCAAGAGGAAAACAAUCCAGACCGCCAGCUAAGGCCCCAAAAUCAUAGUUAAGUGGGAAACGAUGUGGGAAGGCAUAGACAGCUAGGAGGUUGGCUUAGAAGCAGCCACCCUUUAAAGAAAGCGUAAUAGCUCACUAGUCGAGUCGGCCUGCGCGGAAGAUGUAACGGGGCUAAAACUAUGUGCCGAAGCUGCGGAUUUGACAUUAGUCAAGUGGUAGGGGAGCGUUCUGUAAGCCGAUGAAGGUGUAUUGAGAAGUAUGCUGGAGGUAUCAGAAGUGCGAAUGCUGACGUGAGUAACGACAAAACGGGUGAAAAACCCGUUCGCCGAAAGACCAAGGGUUCCAGUCCAACGUUAAUCGGGGCUGGGUGAGUCGACCCCUAAGGCGAGGCCGAAAGGCGUAGUCGAUGGGAAAUUGGUUAAUAUUCCAAUACUUCUGUGUAAUGCGAUGAGAGGACGGAGAAGGUUAAGUCAGCCUGGCGUUGGUUGUCCAGGUGGAAGGAUGUAGGUAUGUAUCUUAGGCAAAUCCGGGGUACUCUAUACUGAGAUCCGAUAGCAAGCUGUACUUGUACAGUGAAGUGGCUGAUACCAUGCUUCCAGGAAAAGUCUCUAAGCUUCAGUUACACAGGAAUCGUACCCGAAACCGACACAGGUGGUCAGGUCGAGUAGACCAAGGCGCUUGAGAGAACUCUGCUGAAGGAACUAGGCAAAAUGGUACCGUAACUUCGGGAGAAGGUACGCUGUUGUUGGUGAUGGAACUUGCUUCCUGAGCUGACGACAGCCGCAGAAACCAGGCCGCUGCAACUGUUUAUUAAAAACAUAGCACUCUGCAAACACGAAAGUGGACGUAUAGGGUGUGAUGCCUGCCCGGUGCUGGAAGGUUAAUUGAUGGGGUUAGCGUAAGCGAAGCUCUUGAUCGAAGCCCCAGUAAACGGCGGCCGUAACUAUAACGGUCCUAAGGUAGCGAAAUUCCUUGUCGGGUAAGUUCCGACCUGCACGAAUGGCAUAAUGAUGGCGGCGCUGUCUCCAGCAGAGGCUCAGUGAAAUCGAAAUCGCUGUGAAGAUGCAGUGUACCCGCGGCUAGACGGAAAGACCCCGUGAACCUUUACUGCAGCUUGACACUGAACUUUGACCUUACUUGUGUAGGAUAGGUGGGAGGCUUUGAAGUUGGAACGCUAGUUCCAAUGGAGCCGUCCUUGAAAUACCACCCUGGUAAUGUUGAGGUUCUAACUCUGUCCCGUUAUCCGGGACGAGGACCGUGUCUGGUGGGUAGUUUGACUGGGGCGGUCUCCUCCUAAAGAGUAACGGAGG
This 2255-nucleotide ribosomal RNA is filed under the name human gut metagenome. RNAcentral describes it as "bacterial LSU rRNA". It matches the Rfam family "Bacterial large subunit ribosomal RNA", at positions 14 to 2306 of the family's 2925-position model. The record is from RNAcentral.